CACGUAGGCACCAAGCGUUGUCCGGAUUUAUUGGGCGUAAAGAGCUCGUAGGCGGUUCGGUAAGUCGGGUGUGAAAACUUUGGGCUUAACCCAAAGCGUGCAUCUGAUACUGCUGUGACUAGAGUUCGGUAGGGGAGUGGGGAAUUCCUAGUGUAGCGGUGAAAUGCGCAGAUAUUAGGAGGAACACCGGUGGCGAAGGCGGCUUCCUGGACCGACACUGACGCUGAGGUGCGAAAGCGUGGGGAGCAAACAGG
This 254-nucleotide ribosomal RNA is filed under the name uncultured bacterium. RNAcentral's name for it is "partial 16S ribosomal RNA". It matches the Rfam family "Bacterial small subunit ribosomal RNA", at positions 524 to 776 of the family's 1533-position model. The record is from RNAcentral.